Molecule: long non-coding RNA, 1298 nt
Filed under: Papio anubis (olive baboon)
Lineage: Eukaryota; Metazoa; Chordata; Mammalia; Primates; Cercopithecidae
Description: lncRNA (ENSPANG00000045747.1)
Source: RNAcentral
AUCCAUCCAAACUGCUGGAUUAUACAUAGAUUUAUAUAUUAUAUAUAUAUUUGUAGUAUGUAUAAUUUUUAUAUAUAUAUAUAUUUAAAUUUAAAUAUUUAGUGCAUCUAUAGUUUAGUUUUUUGGGGGGUUGGGGGGGUUGGGUUUUUGUUUGUUUGUUUCUUGUUUUUUUCUUUGAGACAGAGUUUCACUCUUGUUACCUAGGCUGGAGUGCAAUGGCAUAAUCUUGGCUCACUGCAACCUCUGCCUCCUGGGUUCAAGAGAUUCUCCUGCCUCAACCUCCCGAGUAGCUGAGAUUGCAGGCAUGCGCCAUCACACUCGGUUAAUUUUUUUUUUUUUUUUUUUUUUUUUUAUUAAAGACAGGGUUUCUCCAUGUUGAUCAGGCUGGUCUUGGACUCCCAACCUCAGGUGAUCCGCUGGCCUUGGCCUUCCAAAGUUCUGGGAUUACAGGCGUGAGCCACUGUGCCCGGCCCAUAGUGUAGUUUUUAGUGUGAAAUAAAAUCCAGUUUUACUUUCUUUCUUAAAGAUUGACAAUUGUGCUGAUUAAUUAAAAACCAUUUUCUACCACUCCAGGUGAAUCAGAAAGUGAUUAUUUUAUCAAAGUAAGUCAAUGGCUCCUACCUUGGGCUUUCGAAAUGACCAGUAACUAAACAGGAUUUUUUAGAAGUACUAUUACAUUUGUUUAUUAUAACUUAUAAAGAAGAUUUAAAUCUUUGCAUUUUAUCAGUCAUUUCACAAGUACCUGUUUAUUCUGAUGUUUCCUUUAUCUGCUCAAAGUCUACUUUAGAAAUUUAAGAUAUUUUGGAAGCAUUGAUGGCUACUGAGCAUGGGAACUGAGAAAGUGUCUCAAGAACCUAAUUUCUGUACACUUCUAAAGACUUUCAUUAAAUACAAGAGUCUGAUUCCUUGGAAACAACAUCAAGACAAAGCCAUUCAAUUUUUAAUCACAGGUGAUAUAAAUCAUUAUGUCAGUUAACUCUAGGGUCCAUAAAUCUCUAAAAUGCAAAUUUAUGACAUAGGGGUGUAAUUUACCAGUAUUGGCUUUUUAAAUUCAAUUAGCAUGAUGAGAUAUGAUAGAACUGAUCUUUCAAUGCUGCUUGCAACCACACCAAAAAUAGAGGCUCUCAAGCUGGCAGUCUGUUAGUAUAUUAAGUAUCAGCUUCACGUUUUUCCUGUUCAGACUAAUUGCUUCCUUAAUCUGUGAUUGCUGACACAUGUGCAGUUGUGCAAGUUAAUGGGAAGAAAAAUGGUUCUGAUACUCUUUGGUUUUAUUAUACUCUGUUUUUAAUUGUCUUCAC